CGAUCGUUCCUGACUUGGUUUAGCUGUGGAGAUCACGGUAAAGAUGUUCCUGUACAUUAUGUAAUAGGUCACCCUCUGUGGGACUCGCCGACACUCGGAUGAACGGCCAGACGUGUUUGUAUACACAUAUCUUCCAAAGCAACCUAAAGAGGAUGGAUGGAAAAUACGAUCCCAACAGGCAUGAGGUUGGAAAAUUGACAGUCGCGCUUGUCGUCCCACACUCCUGCGAGUCAAGUCAGCUGUGUACUUGCUUUGACACAGCUAUCCUCCUCCAUUCUUCUGUACCGUUUCCUCUCACUGCAGGCGAUUGGUUUGAACCCAGUCCCUGAAGUCCUGCCACAUUUUUUUUCCCCUUGCCAUAAACCUAGUGUUCUUUCAACCUACACGCUUCUGCUGUUUCCACAUGGAACACAACAGAGGGCCGUUUCAGACAGAAAUACAAUUGGAAAUUAUUGAUGGGUAUGCUCAGUCCGUUCACGACACUUCAUGUGGCAUCAUUGGUCAGUUUUUUGGGACAUGCCGCAUACAAUCAUUGGGAAGCUAAAAGUGACUAAUUGUAAGCUCAUAAAAUACAAG
Non-coding RNA from Doryrhamphus excisus (bluestripe pipefish), 576 nucleotides. Lineage: Eukaryota; Metazoa; Chordata; Actinopteri; Syngnathiformes; Syngnathidae. The record is from RefSeq and is a predicted model, not a curated record.